Molecule: ribosomal RNA, 253 nt
Filed under: uncultured bacterium
Lineage: Bacteria
Description: partial 16S ribosomal RNA
Rfam family: Bacterial small subunit ribosomal RNA
Source: RNAcentral
UACGUAGGUGGCAAGCGUUGUCCGGAUUUACUGGGCGUAAAGAGUGCGCAGGCGGUCGCUCAAGUCGCGUGUGAAAGCCCCCGGCUCAACUGGGGAGGGUCACGCGAUACUGAUCGACUGGAAGGCAGGAGAGGGUAGUGGAAUUCCCGGUGUAGUGGUGAAAUGCGUAGAUAUCGGGAGGAACACCAGUGGCGAAGGCGACUACCUGGCCUGUUCUUGACGCUGAGGCGCGAAAGCUAGGGGAGCAAACGGG